This 252-nucleotide ribosomal RNA is filed under the name uncultured bacterium. RNAcentral describes it as "partial 16S ribosomal RNA". It matches the Rfam family "Bacterial small subunit ribosomal RNA", at positions 524 to 776 of the family's 1533-position model. The record is from RNAcentral.
UACGUAGGGUGCGAGCGUUGUCCGGAAUUAUUGGGCGUAAAGGGCUCGUAGGCGGUCUGUCGCGUCGGGAGUGAAACUCAGGGCUUAACCCUGAGCCUGCUUCCGAUACGGGCAGGCUAGAGUUCGGUAGGGGAGACUGGAAUUCCUGGUGUAGCGGUGAAAUGCGCAGAUAUCAGGAGGAACACCGGUGGCGAAGGCGGGUCUCUGGGCCGAUACUGACGCUGAGGAGCGAAAGCGUGGGGAGCGAACAGG